UGGGCCCUGCGCUGUUCGUGAACAUGGUGAAGAGCCUUGAGCCAACACUCGACCCGCGGAGGUCGCUUUCCGGAUCGGCAGAGGAGGCUUCAGCCGACCAAGCUCAGAUCCGGUAGACUUCCACAUAAUAGGAUCGGGUCAAGGCCUUCGUGUCACGGCAGCCGCGGGGAACCC
Molecule: non-coding RNA, 174 nt
Filed under: Synergistaceae bacterium
Lineage: Bacteria; Thermotogati; Synergistota; Synergistia; Synergistales; Synergistaceae
Description: 6S RNA
Rfam family: 6S / SsrS RNA
About the family: E. coli 6S RNA was the first non coding RNA to be sequenced, but its function was unknown until recently. It consists of 184 nucleotides that fold into an extended hairpin structure with a large single-stranded internal bulge.
Source: RNAcentral